CCCUUAGAUGUUCGGGGCCGCACGCGCGCUACACUGAAGGACUCAGCGUGUCUCUCCCCCUAUCCCGAAAGGGAUGGGCAACCCGUUGAACCUCCUUCGUGCUAGGGAUUGGGGUUUGCAAUUAUCCCCCAUGAACGAGGAAUUCCCAGUAAGCGCGAGUCAUCAGCUCGCGUUGAUUACGUCCCUGCCCUUUGUACACACCGCCCGUCGCUACUACCGAUUGGAUGGUUUAGUGAGACCCUCGGAUCGGUCCCGACUCGGGGUGGGCUUCUGCCCCGGUCGUGGUUUCGCCGAGAAGACGGUCAAACUUGACUAUCUAGAGGAUGUAAAAGUCGUAACA
This 340-nucleotide ribosomal RNA is filed under the name uncultured eukaryote. RNAcentral's name for it is "partial 18S ribosomal RNA". It matches the Rfam family "Eukaryotic small subunit ribosomal RNA", at positions 1470 to 1796 of the family's 1831-position model. The record is from RNAcentral.